This 3481-nucleotide long non-coding RNA is filed under the name Mytilus galloprovincialis (Mediterranean mussel). The record is from RNAcentral. Lineage: Eukaryota; Metazoa; Mollusca; Bivalvia; Mytilida; Mytilidae.
AAAAAGUUGAAAACAAACAUUUGUUACACAACAUAUUUUUAUAUUUUACAGAUAGCAGUUAGUAAGAAAUUGAGAGCACCUUAGUUCACCAACACAGACAUACGGUCAAGGUCAUGAUUUUCAGGAACCCAGAUUUACAUCAAGCAUGCAGUGAAAAUCUAUUAUUAGUGGUUUAUUGAGAUAAUAGAAAUCUGCAAGACUAAGGUAAUUUCUAUAUAUCUGGCUGUAUAUAAUAAAUUAGUCAUUUUCUGCCCAGGAAUUCCAACAUAACAUUGUUGUAACUUAUAGUCUCAUAUAUCUUUGGUCUGGCUGAUCUGGCACACGACUAAGGGUUUUAGAUUUCACCAUCUUAACAAACUUGUAAUAUUUCACAAAACUUGGAAAGAUAAUCCAAUUCUUACAACCUUUGUUCUUUCUUGUGUAUUACAUGAUAUAUUGAUAAAAUAAUGAAAAAUUAAGAUACAUAAGCUAGAAAACCAUUCUUCGUAUGAAAUUUUAAUAAUUUUGACAUUGUUUCAUGUACUGUAUCUAAAGAGAUAAGAAAUAUUCCUUUUACUGCCGUUAUUUAGAUAAAUGGGGUGGUUUCAGUACCAGUUAAAAGUGACUUUAUACAAUUAAUGUUAUAAAGAAAACAUAAAUAUCAAUUUAUAAUGAGAUACCUUAGCUUUAAUGAGGAUAUGAACAUUUCUUUUUAACAUUAUUUGUGUAAUUAUUGGCACUUCAAUUGUUAGAGAGAUAAUUUUAUUUGAAUUAUAAAUUUAUCUUUGUGUCAGUUUGAUUCAUAUAACUCUUGUUUGUUUGAGUUUUGCCAAAAGCUUGAGCUGCUAGAUUUUGAUUUUGCAAAAGUAUGUUUCAGAUAUUUUUUGACAUAAAGUGGUACUUCUACUUCUUACACACUAAAGAAGCCAUCAACAUUUCUUCUAGUUGUAGGGAUAUUUCAAUUAUUGAGGGUUUUGCAAAUAUAGCUUACACUCGAGAGCUUACACAACUUGGAAAAAAUUCCAUUGUAAACUGGAAAUCAAAAUUAUAUUGUAUUCUGGUAAAUAGGAAAAAAGGUAAUAAUCAUAUUACAUCUUGGUGAAAACAUGUGUAUUAUUUAAAGAGGUAUAAGUGGACAAUUGUCAGUAGUGAAUCAGUUCAGCAGGUAUUGAUAACUUGUAUUAAAAAAAAGGAGAUGUGGUAUGAAUGCUAACUGAGACAACCCAUAGCCAGAAAUUAGUAGUGCUUUUGCUAAGUAAUAUUCAUAAUAUGUAAAUGAGAAUUGUACCACGUGAUUACAGUUUGAACUAGACUGGCUUGAUAUCCUUAAAAUCUUUAAAACACGGAUAUUAUAAGUUGCCCGUCCUUGUUUAUAAUCAUUCUGAUAUUUCCGUUAAGUUGCCAGGCGGUCAAAAUCAAUACAAUGAACGCAAAUUAAGUGAAUUUUUCGUGUUCUCAUGAGUUUAUUCUUCUUAAAAUAUUGGUAUUUUAACUUUACGUGGGAACCUAGAGUUCAAUGACUACACAUACAAGGUUUGGACUUGCUUAUUCUUUGGACAUCCAAGUUUCACCCCGGCAACUUGUUUUUCUUAUGACCUUGUUAGCCAAUUUUCAACACGAAGUUUGCAAAUUUGACGUUUCAGCCAUUUUAGCCUGUAUUUUAUACUGCAAUGUUAAAAGCCUCUCGCUUCGAUUUUCAAAAUAGCUCAGCGACAGUCAUAAUGUUUCGUUUAAAUGGUGUAUAUUGUUGUGUAUAUUUAUUUUCUGUCCCGGCAACCUGUCUAUCACUUAAAUUAAAGUUAAAAUAGACAUUUUUUCAAAAAUCCCUAUCAUUUCAAUAUAAUUUCCGUGACCCGUAUCUGAUUUUGUUAGUAUAAUAUUCAAUGAGCAAAGUGGCGUUGAUUUCUGGAUAUGCUUCCACAAGUUCAAAUGACAUGAAUGAAUGGUCCUUGUAAAAUAGCUGACUACUGGUAGUUAAAUUUCACAUGACAGCUUCACUAGAGAUUUAUAUACAUUGCAAUUUUGUUUACCAUUUUUCCAGCUUCAACCACAGAAUUAGGCCAUUACCCUGAGCACAUUUUCCUUAAUAAGAUUAAGGGAUUGCCUUGACAUCAUUAUCUUAAUUUUACUUAUGAUUUAUUUUAAUUGUUUCCUUCUUUUCACUAGACUUAUACUUUAUCUCAGUUUACCUCAGAUGUGAAAGGGUGAUUUUGUGGAAAUAUUUUAUUAGCAAUUAUUGUAGUAUAUAAGAACAGAUAUCAGCUAUUACGUCUUUAAUAAUUAGGAAAGUUGGGUGAUUUGUACCACCAUCUGGGAGCUGUUUUUACCACAAUCUGACUGCGAGGUUGUCCAAUAGUCUGUGGAGACUGCAAUGAUUCUCAUUCAGGAGAUAAUUACUAAAUAUCUUCCUUACACAAUCAUCUAACAAUACUCAUUUGUGUUGUAGUCUGCCUGGAAGAACAUUUUUAAAUUCUUAUCUUUCAGUUAAAAGGAUGUUAAAGUAGAGAAUAAAAGUGAUUUUAAGACCAACAAAUCAUUCUAUAUCAUAACUGUCUAUGCCUUCAACAAUGAGCAACCCUAUACAUUUGUGCUUUAUAUUGAAUAUGCUAUAUAAGGAGCCAGCUUGCUAAAUACAAAUCUAUUCUUGCAAGAAAACUAAAGCCUUGUACAUGGGGAAGUCACAUUAAUUUAUGUUGCUUUUAAAGGGCAAGCAUGUCUUGCUGAACUUGUAGCACUCAUCAGGUUACUCAUGUGACAAAUGUUGUAUGAUCUGGUGUGAAAUGCAAGAAUUGCAUGGAAGCUUUCAAUAAAAAUCAACAAAAAAGGUUUAAGUUGGAACCUCUAGGUAAUGCAACAUUGGGUAUAGCUCACUAGUAUUUAAAGGUUAUAUCAUCUACAGUCAGUAUGGCAUGCAUCAAAUAAUUCUUCACCUUCUUACAUUUUAAUCUGAAUCAUAAAUACAAUUUAAUAGACAAAUUAAUUGAGCAAGAUGAUACAUUAACAUUUAUAAAUAGAUAGCUAAUUGAUUGAGUCUGCUAAAUUUUGAGGUCAUGUGUACUUAACAUUGUAACCUUGACAUUAUACCUUUGCCAGAUUUUACAGUAGCCUUUUAUACCAGGUGUGGCAAUAAAAAAAAUCAAUCUGUAAGCAUUUUAGGGAAAGUUUUCUGUUCUUCUUUGAUAACAGAUUUCUUGGUGGUAUACUUGGCAAAGAAAUUACUUGUAGAUUAGAGAAGAAAUCAGUGUAAUUUUGACGGAUCAUUGGCAUCUCUAUCAGUUAGUACAAAAUAUAUUAAUAAUUGUGCUAUAUUCAUAAAAAUGUUAACUAUUGGCAUAUUUCCUGAUAAAUUAUCUAUUUUUUGUCUUCCAGGGUGAAGAGUUUUAGUGUCUUGUCAUUGACCUAAUCAAAUAAUCAUUACUUCUGAUAAGUGGCUGUGUUGCAGUAGCAGAAGAGAAUGAAAUGCCAGCAGACGUCAUACCGAAUCCUGAUCAAUCCUUGACAU